AUCAUGUUCAUCAUAUAUUAGUAAAAUGAUCAUGACACAAACAAUUUUUCUGCAUAAAUUUAAAAAGAUAUUAUUCCAAUCAAAAAAGUAACCGAUGCACGCUUCUCCAUUAGCGAGGCAUAGCAUUUUUCAGCCAUGAACGUGACUGGUGGCGUCUUCCUACAGAUUGGGCUAACCAAGACAAUGUUCGAGGUCGAAAAUUAUAUCUCGGAUAGCAAUGCUUUAUGGUGGUUGGGCCACUGGUUAUCGAUAAUAGACUAAUGUUUAUGGGAUGGACGUGUCACACGAGGCCACGAGCAUGUCAGCAUGAGCGCCGACGUGAGGGCGCUCAUGAGCUCAGCGUCCCAUGAUAGGCUGACGCGACAUUCGACAACAAGGUAUGUGCUUUGUAGAACUGGCAAGAACCCUUUCUUGGACUGUUCCAUUUUGAACCUCUUCAAAACUUUAUCAAGGUAUGUGCUUUGUGAAAGUCCUAUCAGGCGUUUUGAUCUAUCCCUAUAGAUCUUAAUGCCUAGAAUGUAAGCAGCUUCUCCUAGGUCCUUCAUAGAGAAACUUUUAUUCAAGUAACCUUUUAUGCUCUCUAAAAACUCUACGUUGUUUCCAAUCAGUAAUAUGUCAUCCACAUAUAAUAUUAGAACCGCCACAGAGCUCCCACUCACUUUCUUGUAAAUACAAGAUUCUCCAACCACUUGUAUAAACCCAAAUGCUUUGAUCACCUCAUCAAAGCGUUUGUUCCAACUCCGAGAUGCUUGCACCAGUCCAUAAAUGGAUCGCUGGAGCUUGCACACCUUGUUAGCAUUCUUAGGAUCGACAAAACCUUCGGGUUGUAUCAUAUACAAUUCUUCUUUAAGGAAACCGUUAAGGAACGCCGUUUUGACAUCCAUCUGCCAGAUUUCAUAAUCGAAAAAUGCAGCUAUUGCUAACAUGAUUCUGACGGACUUAAGCAUCGCUACGGGUGAGAAUGUCUCAUCGUAGUCAACUCCUUGAACUUGUGAAAAACCCUUUGCCACAAGUCGAGCUUUAUAAACGGUCACAUUGCCGUCAGCGUCCGUCUUCCUCUUAAAGAUCCAUUUGUUCUGAAUAGCCUUGCGACCCUCAGGUAGUACCUCCAAAGUCCACACUUUGUUCUCAUACAUGGAUCCUAUCUCGGACUUCAUGGCUUCCAGCCAUUUGUUGGAAUCUGGGCCCACCAUUGCUUCUUCAUAAUUCGCAGGUUCAUUGUUGUCUAACAACAUGAUUGAUAAGACGGGAUUACCGUACCACUCUGGAGCAGCACGUGGUCUCGUCGACCUGCGUGGUUCGACAGAAACUUGAACUGGAGUUUCAUGAUUAUCAUCAUUAACUUCCUCCUCAACCGGCGUCGCAAUGACAGAGGUUUCCCCUUGCCCUGCGCCACCAUCCAGAGGGAUGAGAGGUUCGACAACCUCGUCAAGUUCUAUCUUCCUCCCACUCAAUUCUCUCGAGAGAAACUCCUUCUCGAGAAAAGCUCCGUUUUUAGCAACAAACACUUUGCCCUCGGAUUUGAGAUAGAAGGUGUACCUAACUGUCUCUUUUGGGUAACCUAUGAAGACGCACUUUUCCGCUUUGGGUUCCAGCUUUUCAGGCUGAAGCUUUUUGACAUAAGCAUCACAUCCCCAAACUUUAAGAAACGACAACUUUGGUCUUUUGCCAUACCACAGUUCGUAUGGUGUCGUCUCAACGGAUUUUGAUGGUGCCCUAUUUAAAGUGAAUGCAGCUGUUUCUAAUGCAUAACCCCAAAAUGAUAACGGCAAAUCAGUAAGAGACAUCAUAGAUCACACCAUCUCUAAUAGAGUACGAUUACGACGUUCGGACACACCAUUACGCUGUGGUGUUCCAGGCGGUGUUAACUGUGAAACAAUUCCACAUUGUCUUAAGUGAGGACCAAACUCGAAACUCAGAUAUUCACCCCCACGAUCAGACCGUAGGAACUUGAUAUUCUUGUUACGAUGAUUUUCCACUUCACUCUGAAAUUGCUUGAACUUUUCAAAUGUUUCAGACUUGUGCUUCAUCAAGUAGACAUAACCAUAUCUACUUAAAUCGUCAGUGAAGGUGAGAAAAUAACGAUAUCCGCCGCGUGCCUCCACGCUCAUCGGACCACAUACAUCGGUAUGUAUGAUUUCCAACAAGUCUCUUGCACGCUCCAUUGUUCCUGAGAACGGAGUCUUAGUCAUCUUGCCCAUGAGGCAUGGUUCGCACGUGUGAAGUGAAUCAAAGUCAAGUGACUCCAAAAGUCCAUCAGCACGGAGUUUCUUCAUGCGCUUUACACCAAUAUGACCUAAGCGGCAGUGCCACAAAAAUAUGGCGCUAUCAUUGUUAACUCUAACUCUUUUGGUCUCAAUGUUAUGUAUAUGCGUAUCGCUAUCAAGAUUCAAUAUGAACAAUCCUCUCACAUUCGGUGCAUGACCAUAAAAGAUGUUACUCAUAGAAAUAGAACAACCAUUAUUCUCUGACUUAAAAGAGUAACCGUCUCGCAAUAAACAAGAUCCAGAUAUAAUGUUCAUGCUCAACGGAGGCACUAAAUAACAAUGAUUUAAGUUCAACACUAAUCCUGAUGGUAACUGAAGUGACACUGUGCCGACGGCGAUUGCAUCAACCAUGGAACCAUUUCCUACGCGCAUCGUCACUUCAUCUUUCGCCAGCCUUCGUCUAUUCCGCAGUUCCUGUUUCGAGUUGCAAAUAUGAGCAACAGAACCGGUAUCGAAUACCCAGGCACUACUACGAGAGCCGGUUAAGUACACAUCAAUAACAUGUAUAUCAAAUAUACCUGAUUUUUCUUUGGCCGCCUUCUUAUCUGCCAGAUACUUGGGGCAAUUGCGCUUCCAGUGACCCAUACCCUUGCAAUAGUAACACUCCGUUUCAGGCUUAGGUCCAGCUUUGGGUUUCUUCGUCGGAUUGGCAACAGGCUUGCCGCUCUUCUUCGGAUUGCCCUUCUUGCCUUUGCCGUUUCUCUUGAAACUAGUGGUCUUAUUCACCAUCAACACUUGAUGCUCUUUACGGAGUUCAGACUCUGCGACUUUCAGCAUCGCAAACAACUCGCCGGGGGACUUGUUCAUCCCCUGCAUGUUGUAGUUCAACACAAAGCCUUUAUAGCUUGGCGGCAGUGAUUGAAGGAUUCUGUCAGUGAUAGCUUCUUGCGGGAGUUCAAUCCCCAGCUCAGCUAGACGGUUUGAGUACCCAGACAUUUUGAGCACAUGUUCACUGACAGAUGAGUUUUCCUCCAUCUUGCAAGCAUAGAAUUUAUCGGAGGUCUCAUACCUCUCGAUCCGGGCGUUCUUUUGAAAGAUAAACUUCAACUCCUGGAACAUCUCAAAUGCUCCAUGACGCUCAAAGCGACGUUGAAGUCCCGGUUCUAAGCCAUACAAGACUGCACAUUGAACUAUUGAGUAGUCCUCCUUACGUGCUAACCAAGCGUUCUUAACAUCCUGAUCAGCCGUAGCGGGUGGUUCAUCUCCUAGCGCAGCAUUAAGGACAUAAUCCUUCUUCCCAGCUUGUAAGAUUAGCUUAAGAUUACGAGCCCAGUCUACAAAGUUGCUUCCAUCAUCUUUCAACUUAGCUUUCUCUAGGAACGUAUUAAAAUUCAGGAUGACUGUUGCGUGAGCCAUGAUCUACAACACAAAUAUAUUCAAAGUGGACUUAGACUAUGUUCAAGAUAAUUAGAGUUUAACUUAAUCAAAUUAUUCGCUAAACUCCCACUCAAAAAGUACAUCUCUCUAGUCAUUUGAGUGGUUCAUGAUCCACUUACACUAGCUCAAGUCCGAUCAUCACGUGAGUUGAGUAUAGUUUCAGUGGUAAGCAUCCCUAUGCUAAUCGUAUCAUCUAUAUGAUUCAUGAUCGACCUUUCGGUCUCAUGUGUUCCGAGGCCAUGUCUGCACAUGCUAGGCUCGUCAAGCUUAACCCGAGUGUUCCGCGUGCGCAACUGUUUUGCACCCGUUGUAUGUGAACGUUGAGUCUAUCACACCCGGUCAUCACGUGGUGUCUCGAAACGACAAACUGUAGCAACGGUGCACAGUCGGGGAGAACACAAUUUCGUCUUGAAAUUUUAGUGAGAGAUCACCUCAUAAUGCUACCGUCGUUCUAAGCAAAAUAAGGUGCACAAAAGGAUUAACAUCACAUGCAAUUCAUAAGUGACAUGAUAUGGCCAUCAUCACGUGCUUCGUGAUCUCCAUCGCCAAAGCACCGGCACGAUCUUCUUGUCACCGGCGCCACACCAUGAUCUCCAUCAACGUGUUGCCAUCGGGGUUGUCGUGCUACUCAUGCUAUUACUACUAAAGCUACAUCCUAGCAAAAUAGUAAACGCAUGUGCAAGCACACACGUUAGUAUAAAGACAACCCUAUGGCUCCUGCCGGUUGCCGUACCAUCGACGUGCAAGUCGAUAUUUCUAUUACAACAUGAUCAUCUCAUACAUCCAAUAUAUCACAUCACAUCAUUGGCCAUAUCACAUCACAGGCAUACCCUGCAAAAACAAGUUAGACGCACUCUAAUUUUGUUGUUGCAUGUUUUACGUGGUGACCAUGGGUAUCUAGUAGGAUCGCAUCUUACUUACGCAAACACCACAACGGAGAUAUAUGAGUUGCUAUUUAACCUCAUCCAAGGACCUCCUCGGUCAAAUCCGAUUCAACUGAAGUUGGAGAAACCGACACUUGCCAGUCAUCUUUGAGCAACGGGGUUACUCGUAACGAUGAAACCAGUCUCUCGUAAGCGUACGAGUAAUGUCGGUCCAAGCCGCUUCAAUCCAACAAUACCGCGGAAUCAAGAAAAGACUAAGGAGGGCAGCAAAACACACAUCACCGCCCACAAAAACUUUUGUGUUCUACUCGAGAAGACAUCUACGCAUGAACCUAGCUCAUGAUGCCACUGUUGGGGAACGUCGCAUGGGAAACAAAAAUUUUCCUACGCACACGAAGACCUAUCAUGGUGAUGUCCAUCUCCGAGAGGGGAUGAGUGAUCUACGUAUCCUUGUAGAUCGUACAGCAGAAGCGUUAGUGAACGCGGUUGAUGUAGUGGAACGUCCUCACGUCCCUCGAUCCGCCCCGCGAACUAUCCCGCGAUCAGUCCCACGAUCUAGUACCGAACGGACGGCACCUCCGCGUUCAGCACACGUACAGCUCGACGAUGAUCUCGGCCUUCUUGAUCCAGCAAGAGAGACGGAGAGGUAGAAGAGUUCUCCGGCAGCGUGACGGCGCUCCGGAGGUUGGUGAUGACCUUGUCUCAGCAGGGCUCCGCCCGAGCUCCGCAGAAACGCGAUCUAGAGGAAAAACCGUGGAGGUAUGUGGUCGGGCUGCCGUGGAAAAGUCAUCUCAAAUCAGCCCCAAUACCUCCGUAUAUAUAGGUGGGAGGGAGGGGACCUUGCCUUGGGGCUCAAGGAGCCCCAAGGGGGUCGGCCGAGUCCAAGGGGGGAAGGCUCCCCCCCCAAACCGAGUUGGACUUGGUUUGGUGGGUGGGAGUCCUUCCCUUCCUUCCCACCUCCCUUUUUUUUCUCUUUGAUUUUUAUCUCUAUGGCGCAUAGGGCCCUUUUGGGCUGUCCCACCAGCCCACUAAGGGCUGGUGCGCCACCCUUAUGGCCUAUGGGCUUCCCCGGGGUGGGUUGCCCCCCCCCCCCUGAUGAACUCCCGGAACCCAUUCGUCAUUCCCGGUACAUUCCCGGUAACUCCGAAAACCUUCCGGUAAUCAAAUGAGGUCAUCCUAUAUAUCAAUCUUCGUUUCCGAACUAUUCCGGAAACCCUCGUGACGUCCGUGAUCUCAUCCGGGACNNNNNNNNNNNNNNNNNNNNNNNNNNNNNNNNNNNNNNNNNNNNNNNNNNNNNNNNNNNNNNNNNNNNNNNNNNNNNNNNNNNNNNNNNNNNNNNNNNNNNCGACAACAAGGUGCUCGUAACGAAGCAUAGAAUCACUGGGUCAGACUAUGUGGCUCUCACUUUUUUUUCUCACUGGUCACUCCUCAGGACUAUCCAGUUACAACAGUGCGAAAAUCGCACCAUGAAAAAGCGCAACUCACACCUCUUCGUUGAACUCACCAAAGUUACAGAGAGAUUAAAUAGGAGCCGAUUCCCUCAAACAUGUCGUAAGUGUUGUACAGGCGGCUGUACGCAGCAAGUUACUAGUGGUAUAUAUA
Molecule: long non-coding RNA, 6130 nt
Filed under: Hordeum vulgare
Lineage: Eukaryota; Viridiplantae; Streptophyta; Magnoliopsida; Poales; Poaceae
Description: long non-coding RNA (HVUL_LNC017293)
Source: RNAcentral